UCACAUUUGUGCCUUUGGAAUCUAAAAACCCCAAGCCUUCGCAAAACUCCAUCAUCCCCUCUUUCCUCCCAAGUGACAAUUCCCAUUUUCAUUCAAUCCGAUAGCAUUCUCCAGCUCGACCCUUUUUCAUAACCAACUUCGCAAGCUCCUCCCCCCUUCUGGCUAAGUCUGCAACCAUCGGCCAUCGAAUCUUCAUUAUCUCCUUCUUCAACCUCGUUUGUCCUUGCCUUGUCGCUCCAUGAAUGGCUGCCUCUAACCUUAGGCCUUUAGUAGAAGAUCUUACUUGCUGGUUUUCCCAAGUGUAUUCAAUCUGUUAACCUUCUGAUGUUUGACGCUCAGUGUCUGCUUGAUUGCCUUGACCUCUCCAAUGGAUGUGCGGCUCUAGAGAUUGCUAACAGAGUGGAAGCCUCAAGAUUGGUGUGCCAUCGAAGGGCUCAUUUGAGACCCACAACUAUUCCCAGCCGCUCAACAGCAAAAUCAGCCUAGGAAAUAGUAAGAGAUUUCAGGGCUGAUGGAGACGAGAGAAUUGCUAGCAGAAACAGCUGAGAACUUCUUGAUUUCCUUGAAGCAGAGUUUCUUAUGUUUAACUCAAAUCACCCUAGACACCAGCAAGAUCUAAGGCAAAAAGGAAAAAAAGGAAGAUGAUGGAGUAACUUUGGUGUGAAAAAAAGAAUGAGAUGUGAAGUUUCUUCAUUUGACUUCUUAGAUUGGCACAAAGGAAGAAGAAAAUGUUGAGGCUUAUUAAUUUUAAGUUGAGGAGUAGAUUCACAAGGCUUAUUUCUGGAAGGUUUGUUUUUUAUCAAUGUGCCAUUCCUUUGGUUUUUCUUGAUGCUUUCUUUGGUUUGUUUCAUUGGUUGCUGAUGACGUAUCAAGAUUUUUUUGUCAGUUUUCAUUUUCAUUUUUAUUUUGAGGAACUAUAGUUCUUCAAUUAUAUAAAUAACAUGGUUAUUUAUACUGAAUUUUUAUCAUUUUUCUCUAAAUUUAGUCUUUUGCUAUUGUAUUUAUUAGUCAAGCUGAAAUGCCUAUUUUUGUGGCAACCAAAAUGGUGUAUUAGAUUUAACGCCAUGAUUGAGGUCAAAUUCUUUGUUCUUCCAGUUCUGUUACUUAUUUCUUUGAGUGUAUAUCAACUCAAUGCUAUGGUAAAUCUUGAACCUACUCUCUCAUUGUGA
This is a long non-coding RNA of Prosopis cineraria, 1169 nucleotides long. RefSeq lists it as uncharacterized. Lineage: Eukaryota; Viridiplantae; Streptophyta; Magnoliopsida; Fabales; Fabaceae. The transcript is spliced from 3 exons. The record is from RefSeq and is a predicted model, not a curated record.